UACGUAGGGGGCAAGCGUUGUCCGGAUUUAUUGGGCGUAAAGAGCGUGUAGGCGGCCAGGUAGGUCCGUUGUGAAAUCUCGAGGCUCAACUUCGAGCUGUCGGUGGAAACUGUCUGGCUAGAGUCCGGAAGAGGAGAAUGGAAUUCCUGGUGUAGCGGUGAAAUGCGCAGAUAUCAGGAAGAACACCCGUGGCGAAGGCGGUUCUCUGGGACGGUACUGACGCUGAGACGCGAAAGCGUGGGGAGCGAACAGG
Molecule: ribosomal RNA, 253 nt
Filed under: uncultured bacterium
Lineage: Bacteria
Description: partial 16S ribosomal RNA
Rfam family: Bacterial small subunit ribosomal RNA
Source: RNAcentral